GAUGAUACUUGCUGUUUCCAUUGUCUCUUGGGCUCAGGCUCAGUUUCAGGAGGGAGACUUCAGUGGGAGCUGAAGGCUGCAGCCCCAGAAUGGCUGAACCCAGGAAGCCAAGGCCUCGGCGGGCCACAGCAAGGUGCAGGCUCCUGGCCCCGAUGAAGCCACCACCUCCUCAGAGUGGCCACCUGCGCACUCAUGCUCCACCCAAGAGCAGGCUCCCGGGACCCUACCAACACUGACCUUGGGCUUUCUGGGAUUUUACAGAUGGGGUGGGGGAUACGGCUUGGAAAUCUUCAGAUUAAAAUUUUAAUUUGGAAUUGACAACAAUCAGCACCACCACUGAGUUUAAUUUUUUUAUGUGGUGAUUUUUAAUGAAAUACAUGUAACAUAAAAUUCACUACUUUAACUGCUACUAAGUAAGUGUACAGUGCAGUGGCAUUAAGUAGACUCACAUUGCAUACCCGAUGCACCGCCC
Molecule: long non-coding RNA, 472 nt
Filed under: Marmota monax (woodchuck)
Lineage: Eukaryota; Metazoa; Chordata; Mammalia; Rodentia; Sciuridae
Source: RNAcentral